RNAcentral lists this small RNA (934 nucleotides) under Pan troglodytes (chimpanzee). Its description in RNAcentral is "retained intron". The record is from RNAcentral. Lineage: Eukaryota; Metazoa; Chordata; Mammalia; Primates; Hominidae.
GCUCGGCUCGCAGGAUGGAUCCCGUACCCGGGACAGACUCGGCGCCGCUGGCUGGCCUGGCCUGGUCGUCGGCCUCUGCACCCCCGCCGCGGGGGUUCAGCGCGAUCUCCUGCACCGUCGAGGGGGCACCCGCCAGCUUUGGCAAGAGCUUCGCGCAGAAAUCUGGCUACUUCCUGUGCCUUAGUUCUCUGGGCAGCCUAGAGAACCCGCAGGAGAACGUGGUGGCCGAUAUCCAGAUCGUGGUGGACAAGAGCCCCCUGCCGCUGGGCUUCUCCCCCGUCUGCGACCCCAUGGAUUCCAAGGCCUCUGUGUCCAAGAAGAAACGCAUGUGUGUGAAGCUGUUGCCCCUGGGAGCCGCGGACACGGCUGUGUUUGAUGUCCGGCUGAGUGGGAAGACCAAGACAGUGCCUGGAUACCUUCGAAUAGGGUAGGGCCACCCCCCAGUGUCUAGCCACCUUCCCUGCCCUCCCAACUCAUGAUCUCACCAAUCUGACCCUCAAGGACACCGCUGAGGUCUCCUGUUCCUUCUUCUACCUUCUGAGCCUCAGAUUCUGCAUGUUAAAACCGGGACAUAUAUAUCAUCUUGUAGGACUGUCAUUAGGAGUCAGUGACUUGGUGUCUAAAGUAGACAUAACAGGACUGGGCGCGGUGGCUCACGCCUGUAAUCCCAGCACUUUGGGAGGCUGAGGCGGGCCGAUCACAAGGUCAGGAGAUCGAGACCAUCCUGACUAACAUGUUGAAACCCCAUCUCUACUGAAAAUACAAAAAAUUAGCCGGGUAUGGUGGCACACGCCUGUAGUCCCAGCUACUUGGGAGGCUGAGGCAGGAAAAUCACUUGAACCUGGGAGGCGGAGGUUGCAGUGAGUUGAGAUCGCGCCACUGCACUCCAGUCUGGGGCGACAGAGCGAGACUCCAUCUCAAAAAUAAAAUAAAA